UCCUCCACCCACCUUCUCGGAGAUGUCCCUUUUGGGGUAGUGGGGACAUUAGGAGCAACCUCCUAGGGUUGUUGUGAGAAUUAAAUGAACUGCAGCAGCCUGAGGCAGGGCUGGGCAGAGACCUCAGCACAUGUUUGUUGAAAGGUUUGCAGGUGGAUCUAGUCCUCCCGUUCAUGGCUCAUGUGUCUCAACCAUUCUCCCGCAGACUCCUGCAGCCCCUAUGCCCAGGGCUCUCCUUGCUCCAGCCCCGGCUUCUCGAGGCCUGUCUACACUCGCUGCUUUCCUUCCUCACCUCCAAUUUCCCCUCCAACCCACUGCUUCCUGACUCGCUCUUCUCCAUCGAACGGCUCUCGCUCAGGUUUAAGACUUGGCUUGCUGGCCCUGGAGAUCCCGUCGCCGUCUUCGUCGAAUUCGAACUCCUAGCCAUCGUCCUUCCCUGGCCUGUCGCGUCUUCCUGUGCCAUUUGCUGUUGUGCUCAGGUUCCACGAGCUGCCCAUCUCCACAGAAGAGCAGCUGGCAUUGCCCACCGGCCAUGCCGGCUGAAGAAAAGAAGUCUGAGGACCCCAGGACGCCCAGCGCGAGGACCCCAGGAAGCCCAGCGCGAGGACCCCACCCACGACGCCCAGCGCGAGGACCUCACGCACAACCCUCCUGGAUUAGGCCAAAGCCAUCAUCUGGAAUCCUGCGUGGGACCCUGGACACACGGACACAGACACCUGCCCCCAGGACCCUCCAACUGUAAAUC
RNAcentral lists this long non-coding RNA (745 nucleotides) under Mus caroli (Ryukyu mouse). RNAcentral describes it as "lncRNA (MGP_CAROLIEiJ_G0004912.1)". The record is from RNAcentral. Lineage: Eukaryota; Metazoa; Chordata; Mammalia; Rodentia; Muridae.